This 434-nucleotide ribosomal RNA is filed under the name uncultured bacterium. RNAcentral describes it as "bacterial SSU rRNA". It matches the Rfam family "Bacterial small subunit ribosomal RNA", at positions 340 to 767 of the family's 1533-position model. The record is from RNAcentral.
UACGGAAGGCAGCAGUGGGGAAUAUUGCACAAUGGGCGCAAGCCUGAUGCAGCCAUGCCGCGUGUAUGAAGAAGGCCUUCGGGUUGUAAAGUACUUUCAGUCGUGAGGAAGGUGUUAAGGUUAAUAACCUUAGCAAUUGACGUUAGCGACAGAAGAAGCACCGGCUAACUCCGUGCCAGCAGCCGCGGUAAUACGGAGGGUGCGAGCGUUAAUCGGAAUUACUGGGCGUAAAGGGCACGCAGGCGGUUAAUUAAGUUGGAUGUGAAAUCCCCGGGCUUAACCUGGGAAUGGCAUUCAAGACUGGUUAGCUAGAGUCUUGUAGAGGGGGUAGAAUUCCGAUGUGUAGCGGUGAAAUGCGUAGAGAUGUGGAGGAAUACCGGUGGCGAAGGCGGCCCCUGGACAAAGACUGACGCUCAUGUGCGAAAGCGUGGGGA